CCUACGGGUGGCAGCAGUGAGGAAUAUUGGUCAAUGGGCGCAAGCCUGACCCAGCAACGCCGCGUGAAGGAAGAAGGCUUUCGGGUUGUAAACUUCUUUUAAGGGGGAAGAGAAGAAGACGGUAUCCAUUGAAUAAGCCACGGCUAACUACGUGCCAGCAGCCGCGGUUAUACGUAGGUGGAAAGUGUUGUCCGGUUUUACUGGGUGUAAAGGGCGUGCAGCCGGAGAGACAAGUCAGAUGUUAAAUCCACGGGCUCAACCCGUGAACUGCAUUUGAAACUGUUUCCCUGGAGUGUCGGAGAGGUAAGCGGAAUUCCUUGUGUAGCGGUGAAAUGCGUAGAUAUAAGGAAGAACACCAGUGGCGAAGGCGGAUUACUGGACGAUAACUGACGGUGAGGCGCGAAAGCGUGGGGAGCAAACAGGAUUAGAUACCCGAGUAGUC
RNAcentral lists this ribosomal RNA (442 nucleotides) under uncultured bacterium. Its description in RNAcentral is "partial 16S ribosomal RNA". It matches the Rfam family "Bacterial small subunit ribosomal RNA", at positions 338 to 795 of the family's 1533-position model. The record is from RNAcentral.